UUAGCUAUUUUAGAUAGGUUUGUAUUCAUAACUUGGAUACAAACAGACUCGUUUGUAUCUAUGAUGGCUAGGGGAUUUUAGGAUGGACCGCCACAUAGAUAAAAAAUUAUCUAUAGUGGUUAACGACAUCUUUCAUACUUCGACAUUCUAUUAGACUAAGUAUAGAGGUAUUCACUGUAGAUCAAU
Molecule: non-coding RNA, 186 nt
Filed under: Enterococcus sulfureus ATCC 49903
Lineage: Bacteria; Bacillati; Bacillota; Bacilli; Lactobacillales; Enterococcaceae
Description: Enterococcus sRNA 2410
Rfam family: Enterococcus sRNA 2410
About the family: Produced as 2 transcripts on Northern blot. Expressed in mid, late exponential and early stationary phases of growth. Expression remained uniform under daptomycin exposure.
Source: Rfam by way of RNAcentral